UACGUAGGUGGCAAGCGUUGUCCGGAUUUAUUGGGUUUAAAGGGUGCGUAGGCGGCUUUGUAAGUCAGUGGUGAAAUAUGGCAGCUCAACUGUCAAGGUGCCAUUGAUACUGCGGAGCUUGAGUACAGAUGAGGUAGGCGGAAUUGACGGUGUAGCGGUGAAAUGCUUAGAUAUCGUCAAGAACACCUAUAGCGAAGGCAGCUUACUAGGCUGUAACUGACGCUGAGGCGCGAAAGCUAGGGUAGCAAACGGG
Molecule: ribosomal RNA, 253 nt
Filed under: uncultured bacterium
Lineage: Bacteria
Description: partial 16S ribosomal RNA
Rfam family: Bacterial small subunit ribosomal RNA
Source: RNAcentral